Molecule: unclassified non-coding RNA, 1132 nt
Filed under: Bombus terrestris (buff-tailed bumblebee)
Lineage: Eukaryota; Metazoa; Arthropoda; Insecta; Hymenoptera; Apidae
Description: misc RNA ENSBTSG00005037038.1
Source: RNAcentral
CGGCAUCGACCUUGGCAUAGAGUCGGUGAUGUUCGAAUCUCGGGCAAGUGUGCCGGAUGGUCGUUCCAAAUGCGAGUGAGAGAUCAUUAGUUUGGAAGUUAAGUUUCGGUCUGUCCGGCGUGGUAGGUUGAUCGUUAGGUUGACUGAGGAAGCAGCAGGAAAACGAGGCACCGCAACGACGCCACGAGGGACCGUAAUGCUCAUAGCUAGGAUAACAGCCUGACCUGGUCUGGGCAGGGCUGCGUCCGUACACGGAUUCCCCCUCCUUGCUGUUACCAUCCACGCCGGACAUAUCGUGACCUGAAAACAGCCUCGGUGAAACUUUUGAGGUCUACGUGUGCGCAACGAAGGUAUGUGACGAUGUACAAAGAAUAUUAGGGAACAACGAAAAAAAAAAAAAAACGAAAACCUUCAGUAGCACGAGAGAAAACGAUCCGACUAGAUCGUUAAUUGGCAAACAGCAAGUCGCAGUCGUAGCCGAGUUUUCCCGACUAUAACGCGAAAACGUUGAUCUCGUGAUGGUGAAGCACAUAUACUCGAGAUAUGAUACGUUUCAACGAUAUACCAAUCUUCAAUGUUUCAAUCUGUUGACCUUCCGAUAAAAAAUUAUAUUUUAUACACUUAUUGUAUUAUAUUGUAUAUAUUGUAUAUAUCUUAUCUUAUAUAUUAAUAUCUUGUAUCAUUAUUUAAGGUUUGAUGUACUGAAAGUACAACCGGAAGAGAAUGAUCUCGUAUGAAAAAGAAGUCGAAAAAAUAGAAGAAAAUUUCUCUACGCGAUAUUUCGUUCUCGAGAAAUAAUUAAGUAUAAAUAUUUGCCUAGUACGUUUGCAUUCGACUAUCUACAUUUUCAUAUGUGUUUUCUUGAACCCAAUCAUUUCAGACCUUAAUUAGUAAAUUCUGAUAAUUGUUUGUAGAAAAAACAAAGUUGUCUGAGGGAAAAACCAUCCUUCUUUCGGUAAUAUUAUUUUUGAAAGCUAUGACCAAUGAAAGAGGAUUUUCCUAUUAUUUAAUUGAUGAUUUAUCGAAAUACAUCCAGCUACAGUACCUAGAAAAGUAGUAGAUAAAUUCAUAAAAGCAGAAAGAUAAAAUUAACAAAUUAUUUAUCAGACUAGUAAUUAGUAUAGAGUAUGAU